This is a long non-coding RNA of Brassica rapa (field mustard), 783 nucleotides long. RefSeq lists it as uncharacterized. Lineage: Eukaryota; Viridiplantae; Streptophyta; Magnoliopsida; Brassicales; Brassicaceae. The record is from RefSeq and is a predicted model, not a curated record.
AAUAUUUUUGAAUAUGAGAAUAAAAAAAUAUUUUACUAAUAUAUAUAUAUAUAGUUACAAUUUUAGUAAUGAAAUAAUAAUUUGAAAAAUAUAUAUAUAUUCAAUGAAAAAAUAUACUGUAAACUUAUUAUGUUUUAAAAAUUAAUAAACACAUAUAUUAUAAUAUAUACCAAUUUAGAAUUGAAAACAAAAUGUUUAUAUUAAAAUAAAUGAAACAAAAACCCGCGUGGUUGCGCGGAUCGAAACACUACUUAAGAUGAUACAUAAUAAAAUAGAGAUGCAAAAUACUACUCUCUCUGUAUCACUUUAAAUAGUUUUUAAAUUUUUUUAUUUUAUUUCAUACCAAGUGAAGUUCUCAUUAUUUAAAAAAAAUAAUUUAAUUUAAACUUUGUAACCAAUUACAAAAUAUUUUUUUUAUUGAUUGAACUGAUUUAUGUAAUGCUACUUUUGUAUAACCAAAAUAAACUACAUAAAAUUUUAUAUUUUUUUAAUCUUUGUGUAAAAACUUUAAACACUACUUAAAAUGAUAGAUAAUAUUACUAUUUAAAAAUAAAAAACUAAAAGAUUUUAAAAUCACCUAAAAUGAAAAAAAAAACGUUUGGCUGAAACAUCUUGUGUCAUGAAGGAAAUAGAUGAGUAUAUAUUCUUUUGGUAACCCACAAAUUGAAAAACAAAAGCACUGAACAAUGAUCAUGCGAGAACUAUGGCAAUUGGUAGGGCUUUGUUUAAAUAUGACCUAAAAUUUCAAGUCUAACAUGAAAAUAAUCUAUGUUUUUAAUGUUU